AUUGAACGCUGGCGGCAUGCUUUACACAUGCAAGUCGAACGGUAACAGGUUAAGCUGACGAGUGCGAACGGGUGAGUAAUGCAUCGGAACGUGCCCGGUCGUGGGGGAUCACGCAGCGAAAGCUGCGCUAAUACCGCAUACGAUCUGAGGAUGAAAGCGGGGGACCGUAAGGCCUCGCGCGAUCGGAGCGGCCGAUGUCAGAUUAGGUAGUUGGUGGGGUAAAGGCACCAAGCCAACGAUCUGUAGCUGGUCUGAGAGGACGACCAGCCACACUGGGACUGAGACACGGCCCAGACUCCUACGGGAGGCAGCAGUGGGGAAUUUUGGACAAUGGGCGAAAGCCUGAUCCAGCAAUGCCGCGUGCAGGAAGAAGGCCUUCGGGUUGUAAACUGCUUUUGUACGGAGCGAAAAGGUCUCCUCUAAUACAGGGGGCUCAUGACGGUACCGUAAGAAUAAGCACCGGCUAACUACGUGCCAGCCGCCGCGGUAA
This 490-nucleotide ribosomal RNA is filed under the name uncultured bacterium. RNAcentral describes it as "partial 16S ribosomal RNA". It matches the Rfam family "Bacterial small subunit ribosomal RNA", at positions 29 to 523 of the family's 1533-position model. The record is from RNAcentral.